AAAUUCUCAACCUCACCAACUUUGUUGUGUGCAGGCUUGGAUGUGGGGGUUGCAGGUCCACUCUCGUGGUCUGCUCCUCUGAAAUGUAUUAGUGGGUUGUGCCCCUAAUCUAUUGGUGUGAUAAUUAUCUACGCUCGUGGAUUGGGUUGGUUACUUGAAGACCUGCUUCUAACCGUCCCUUGGACAUUCUUU
RNAcentral lists this unclassified non-coding RNA (192 nucleotides) under Coprinopsis cinerea. RNAcentral describes it as "ITS2". The record is from RNAcentral. Lineage: Eukaryota; Fungi; Basidiomycota; Agaricomycetes; Agaricales; Psathyrellaceae.